Molecule: ribosomal RNA, 849 nt
Filed under: Triticum aestivum (bread wheat)
Lineage: Eukaryota; Viridiplantae; Streptophyta; Magnoliopsida; Poales; Poaceae
Description: partial small subunit ribosomal RNA
Source: RNAcentral
AUGGCGGUCAUGGACGAGGACAACGGUUCUGCGCGCGCACCGGCACCGGCACCGAGGAGGCAGCCCUCAUACUCCUGCAGCGGCGAGACCACUCACGACCACAAGCUUUCCCACUCCGACUCCUUCUGGACGCCGGCCGAAUCGCUGCGGUCGUCGUCCGCUUCGUCGUCGUCCCCACCUCUAUCCAGCAGCUCGUCGUGCGAGAGCAUUCCCGCACUCGACAUUGACCGGCACUCAUCCUUGUCCUCCACAUCCUCCUACGAGAGCUUGCACCACGUCGAGGCGGCGGCGGACCACGACCAUUCUUCCUCUCCCGACGAGUUCAUGCCGGCAACGCUGCCGCCGGCAGUCCAGACGAUGAUGGCGCAGGGGCAGCCCACUGGAUACGACCCGAAGAGGCUCCCUUCAUCGAUGUUCCGCACGCAGUCCACGUGCCCCGCCCAAUGGAGCGCCACCUCGAACGACCAGCUGUUCAGCAUCCAGCUGGAAAACUCCGGCGGGGACGGCCCGCUUUACCUUGUUGGCGACCUCUACUACGACUCCGCUGGGGUGUUCCACCGCCUCUCAUCCGUCGCGAGGCUGCCGGCCGUCCCAGGGAUGUCGACAGGAAACUCCAGCCGGAGUUUGUGCGUGAGGGAUGACUGCGCGGGGUGCAGCACAAGCAUGAACAAGAAGCCCGUCAGGUUCGCUACCACCGAUGGCGUCGCCGGCCCGCGCAGUCUUCCGGCCGCGUUGGAGGAUUCGGAGGCAUCGGCGGCGGAAACUGGCGCGGCGGCGAAGGCUGGUUGGUGCUGUUGGCCGUCGAUGUGGUGGCCAAGCUGCGCGUGCCGCGGAUGCGACUACCGAUGA